Small nucleolar RNA from Cricetulus griseus (Chinese hamster), 71 nucleotides. Ensembl annotates it as small nucleolar RNA SNORD50. The record is from Ensembl. NCBI's taxonomy places the organism in Eukaryota, Metazoa, Chordata, Mammalia, Rodentia, Cricetidae.
GAUCUAUGAUGACCCUAUCCCGAACCUGAAUUCCUGUUGAAAUACAAAAUUACGGAUCUGGCUUCUGAGAC